ACGCUGGCGGCGUGCUUAACACCUGCAAGUCCAGCGCAGGUUUGGAGCUUGCUCCAAAUGCUGCGCGGCGCACGGGUGAGUAACACGUGGAUGAUCUACCCAUCAGUUCGGGAUAACCAUUGGAAACGAUGGAUAAUACCGGAUACGAUUCAUUUCAUAACUGAGUGAAAGGCGGCCUCUGCUUGCAAGCUGUCGCUGAUGGAUGAGUCCGCGUCUCAUUAGGUAGUUGGUGGGGUAACGGCCUACCAAGCCGACGAUGAGUAGCCGGCCUGAGAGGGUAAUCGGCCACACUGGGACUGGAACACGGCCCAGACUCCUACGGGAGGCAGCAGUGGGGAAUAUUGCGCAAUGGGCGAAAGCCUGACGCAGCGACGCCGCGUGAGUGGAUGAAGGCCUUCGGGUCGUAAACCUCUGUCAGGAGGGAAGAACUGCACUCGUGCUAAUCAGCGAGUGUUUGACGGUACCUCCAAAGGAAGCAACCGGCUAACUCCGUGCCAGCAGCCGCGGUAAUACGGAGGGUGCAAGCGUUAAUCGGAAUCACUGGGCGUAAAGCGCGCGUAGGCGGCUUUGUAAGUCAGGGGUGAAAUCCCACGGGCCAACCCGUGGAAACUGACCUUGAUACCUGCUUAGCUUUGACUAUUGAGAGGAUAGUGGAAAUACCUGAGCGUAAGAGUGAAAAUCCCGUAAACAAUCAGGACGAAACCUUCAUGGGCGAAGGCAACUAUCUGGC
RNAcentral lists this ribosomal RNA (730 nucleotides) under uncultured bacterium. Its description in RNAcentral is "bacterial SSU rRNA". It matches the Rfam family "Bacterial small subunit ribosomal RNA", at positions 33 to 733 of the family's 1533-position model. The record is from RNAcentral.